AGGUAAUAGAUACCCGGGUAGUCCACGCCGUAAACGAUGAUGACUAGCUGUCGGGGCGCUUAGCGUUCCGGUGGCGUAGCUAAACGCGUUAAGUCAUCCGCCUGGGGAGUACGGCCGCAAGGUUAAAACUCAAAGAAAUUGACGGGGGCCUGCACAAGCGGUGGAGCAUGUGGUUUAAUUCGAAGCAACGCGCAGAACCUUACCAGCGUUUGACAUGGUAGGACGGUUUCCAGAGAUGGAUUCCUUCCCUUACGGGACCUACACACAGGUGCUGCAUGGCUGUCGUCAGCUCGUGUCGUGA
Molecule: ribosomal RNA, 301 nt
Filed under: uncultured bacterium
Lineage: Bacteria
Description: bacterial SSU rRNA
Rfam family: Bacterial small subunit ribosomal RNA
Source: RNAcentral